RNAcentral lists this long non-coding RNA (89 nucleotides) under Oryctolagus cuniculus (rabbit). RNAcentral's name for it is "lncRNA (ENSOCUG00000038753.1)". The record is from RNAcentral. Lineage: Eukaryota; Metazoa; Chordata; Mammalia; Lagomorpha; Leporidae.
AAUGGAGAUGCGAGCUCAUCCAAGUUCACUGUGAAUUCGAUGUUUAGGAAGACAAAGGAACAUCUGCGCUGCGUGGUGGGUGUAGGUAA